AUGAUAGGCCCCUCCCACUUUUCACAACCUGGUUUAUUUUCCAUAGCAAUGUGCUUCCAUCUAAUAAGAUUCAUCCUACAGUGUUUUGAAGUCAACACGACAUAUCGUCUGUCCGCUACAGCUGCUCGUGUUGGACGACCACAGAAGCGGCGCCCUCUGAGAACGCAAGGCAUUGAAUUUGCUCCCCUCUGUGUAGGUUCAUCCUACAAUGUUUUGAAGUCAACACGACAUAUCGUCUGUCCGCUACAGCUGCUCGUGUUGGACGACCACAGCAGCGGCACCCUCUGAGAACGCAAGGCAUUGUGGGUAAAUUGGUUAUCGUUUGUUGUUUAGCUCUGGACAGUGAUCGUGUGUAUCAAAAAUGAAGCAGUUUGAACAUUGCAUUCUAGAGUUAUAAGCUUUUUCCUAUUACAGCGUGCUGAUGGCGAAGGAUUUUCCUGUCAUGAUAGGCCCCUCCCCUCUUUUCCACAGCCUGCUCUUUUUGCCAUAGCAAUGUGCUUCCAUCUAAU
Long non-coding RNA from Gouania willdenowi (blunt-snouted clingfish), 509 nucleotides. The record is from Ensembl. Lineage: Eukaryota; Metazoa; Chordata; Actinopteri; Blenniiformes; Gobiesocidae.